GUUCAUCAAUUAACUUUUAAAAAAAUAAAUAAAAAACGUUGAAUUAUGUCUCACAAAUUUGGCGUGCCGUGAUCGUAGUUAACUAUUAAUUAAUUAAUAAUAUGUGUAAACCUAAAAUAAUAAGUAAUAGUUGUUGUAUUGAAUCAUUGGAAAUGAAUGGGACAUAAUUUAAUUUUUAAUAAGAUACGUAUACAAGAGAAGGUGUUCGAAAAAGAAAUGAAAAAUAGUUAUGUUCAUAGUCUAUAAAAAGUGAAGCAAUUCAGCAUAUCUACAUCUGAAAUUCAACCCAGCCAUGGCCCCUUAUCGUUGCACCAUUUUUUCUUUAAUCUUUGCAAUUUUCUUUUCAACCAUGGACAUUACAUUAUUAGCAGCACGUCCAAUCACGUUCCGACCCUCGCGUGGAGGUGGAGCCCUCCCUCAGCCUCCAGUCCCUUGUCCACCGUUACUCCCACCUCUGCCGCCAUUUUCACCUCUGCCGCCACUCCCACCUCUGCCGCCACUCCCACCUCUGCCGCCACUUCCACCUCUGCCGCCACCGCCACUCCCUUCUCUCCCGCCACUUCCUCCUCUGUCUUAAUCAUAUUUGCCCAAGUCCCAUUCCUUUCUCCACCACAUUCAACCAACGUUCUACUUUGGAUUUCGAAAUUGGGUUCCUAUAUCAUUCGCUGCAUGCUUUGUUUGAAUUUCAAUAAGUGGUUUAUAUAAUGAUAGCAUAAAUUAUGUAACUUUUCUUUUUGGGUGUUCCAUUUCCAUUUCGCCUUUAAAUAUGUGUAUUUCUGUUGCACUUCUGCAUUACUUCAUGCAGUGCAUGUACCUAGAGCUGAUAGACUCUUUAC
This 836-nucleotide long non-coding RNA is filed under the name Vigna radiata. Its description in RNAcentral is "long non-coding RNA (VRAD_LNC007184)". Lineage: Eukaryota; Viridiplantae; Streptophyta; Magnoliopsida; Fabales; Fabaceae. The record is from RNAcentral.